This 938-nucleotide unclassified non-coding RNA is filed under the name Hevea brasiliensis (rubber tree). The record is from RNAcentral. Lineage: Eukaryota; Viridiplantae; Streptophyta; Magnoliopsida; Malpighiales; Euphorbiaceae.
GUGCAGAGAAAUUCAUUGGAAAAGAGCUAUAUCAAUGGGCGACCUGCAUGACAUGCGUAUAACAACCCAAUCACAAGCCCCCAUCUGUCAUUCUGAAUGCAGACGUACACGCUCAUAUUUUCGCUAUUUAAAUCAAAUUUUAAAAUGGGGUAUUCCUAAAUACAGCAUACCAGAGUUAAAGCAAAGCCAUGUCUGUUCUGAUUCUACAAUGCAAUCACCAUGUGGCCAUUAACCAAACUAUAAAAUUAACAUGACCGAAUGGGCAGCAUUCCAACAUCAACAAUCUGAGACCCCAGAUUCAAAAUAAUUAAGGAAAUUGAAAAAAAUAAUCAACCAAAUCUUUCAAUCCUCCGUCGACGUAUUUCUGCCAAUGUGAGAUCAUCACCAUCCUGAUGUUGCAAUUGACGGGACGAAAAACCACUGCCACCUCUACUUGUCCCACACAUUUCACAUACGCUUAACCAAACAGAAUUGUCAAAUGUACAUGCUUGACACCUCCACACCCCUGAUACUGUCCUUCCUCCCUGACUCGCACCAACAGUACCCCGACCAGAAAUCCGCUGCCGCCUUGGUCUAAAUAAGCUUCUCAUUAACUUCAAAGGCCAGCUCAAUAUGCCUGCAAAAUUUCUGAUGAUUGAAGUCAAUGGGUCUGGACCUGAAUAUGAUCCUUUCAACUUCAAAUAGAGAAGUCCAGCAAGUAUUCCACCAAGGUGCCCCAGAAAUGACACCCCAGGUACAAACAUUUGGAUAAGAAUCAAUUCAGCCCAUGCAGCAUAGCGUGCUGGUACCACUAGUCCAUGCACAUAUGCAUAGUUUUCAGACUGAGAAUUAAGGACAACUUUCAUUGCAAAGAGAACACCAGAGAACCCAACGGCAUAUUCAGAAUAAAAAGGCUUUUCAUAGUCAAAGAACAAGAGAAGGGACUUGGCUAUUAGCAG